Long non-coding RNA from Gorilla gorilla gorilla (western lowland gorilla), 2838 nucleotides. RefSeq lists it as uncharacterized. The transcript has 4 exons. The record is from RefSeq and is a predicted model, not a curated record. Lineage: Eukaryota; Metazoa; Chordata; Mammalia; Primates; Hominidae.
UAUAAAUGACAACAUGUGGUAUUUGGUUUUCUGUUCCUGCGUUAGUUUGCUAAGGAUAAUGGCCGUUAUCUUAGCCAUUUGAAAAUAAUGAUUUAACCUCUCUCACCUUCAUUGUCAUUUUAGAAGAAACUACCAGUUGGUGUCCUGCUGAGACAAGAAAAUAUUUUCACAACUCAAGACAAGUUAAAUAUCCACUUAUGGGAACAGUGCUGAAGGCCUGGACUAGGAUGGUAGCAAUGGAGACAGACUAAAGAAAGAGAUGCAAUCAUUCCCUCGCAUAUGGUGUGUAUGAAGAUGGGAUCAUUACAGGAAAGGUGAAGGAGAUGCAGUCAUUAUGCUCUAUAUACACCCAUUUUUAUGGCUAGCAGCUGAAGAUGGGAUGCUUUCUUUGCUGGAAGACCUAUUACCUGUUAGGUUGCAAAAGAUGUGAUCAUCUUCCUAAACAAUAAUUUAGAGUCCCAUAACAAUUUUAAGUGUGCUGUUCAUGAAAAUUUGAAUACAUUGUAUUGGGAAUAUAAUGGAAGUGAGACGCCUCAUGUCAUGAGAAAAUCUGACAUAAACUUCUUAAGCAUGAGAGGCCAUGUGGGUAUGGAAGCCCUGAAGGGGAGGAAAAAACAGCCAGACCCUAGCUGUUCCAGUCAUCCCAACUGAGGGGCCAGACUUGUGAAUGAGGCCAUCUUGCAUCAUCUAGGCCUAGUAGAGCUGCCAACUGACUGCAGACACAUGAGUCAAUCCAGCUAAUGCCACAUGGAGCAGAGACAAGCCGCCCAGCUGAGCCCAGUCCAGAUGACAGAAUCAUGAGCAAAUAAGGUUCCAUAUGGAGAGGACUGAUGAAGCCAGCAUUAGGCGUGAUGGGGACAUGCAUAAAUGUGUAUGUUAUCCACUGAGACACAGAUGCUGAAGCACCAGAAGAUUAAAGGCACUUCUAUUUGUUUCUUCUACCCAGCUGAAAGGACAGAAUGCUUCUUCCACAGAACCAGGACAGUCCAGGGGAACAUAGUCCUUCGACUGAAAGCUAUGCUUCCUAUUUUCUAACAAAGAGGCUAGCUCAUGUUGACCACCCGGUUUUGGCCUGCCUGGCUUGCUUUUUAUUCCAGCCUGGAGGACUUUCAGGGUUGAAUAUCCACUCAAGCCAAAUCCCAAGAAGCAUAACCUGCUAUUAGACUCUUGUCACUUAUCGGGUGAGGGGCUGUGCGGCUGUUCUAGUGCUUCCCCACUUGGGUCUUGUGACAUACCCUGGGGCCAAGCCAAGCCCUGGCGGUUAGCUUCUACAGUCUGUCCUUAAAGAGAGCUCAGGGAUGUCUGGACAGGACCUGGAGACAGUGCCCUGGGCCAGAGACCUCUGAUCUCUAGGCCAGCAGAGUCACCAUGCAGACAGAUUUAUGAGCCUUAGGCAAAACAGCUGGCAUUCCUGUGGCCAUCUUUCUACCCCUUCCUUUCCACAUGACCAUAUCCUUGGCCAGAUCUUCAUGUCCUUAGAUGGCUGUUGCCUUUGGGUGAAUUGGCAAUUAAGAUAAAUAAGCAUGUUUAUCAUGGCCUUGUGGUUACCCAUCCUGAAGCUCUCAGGGUGGCAAGCUGCCUGACCCUCCUACUAUGAACUUAGUAGCUUUAAAACAGAGAGUAUCUUUUCCUGCCUAGCUGAAAUUUCCUCCCCAGGGGACCUACUUUUAGGAUUAAUAUGCGGGAAAGUCUGCAGUUUUGUUUUCAGUGAGGGUAGUUGUGUUUUCAAGGAAAGAGGUAGCGCCUUACAGUCAGAUUAGUCAGCUUUAUUUCUUUCAUCAACCCUUUACUGGCUUUCUAAGUUUUUUCAAGUAACUUCACCUCUCUGAGUUUCAUUUACCUCAUUACCUUCAUCAGGUAAGAUGACAUAUGAAAAGUCCUUCUCAAGCAACUGCAAAGUUCCAAUUAAUAGAAGAAAUUGUAAUGACUAUCUGUGUUUGAAGCAGGGCCAUUUUUCUUAUUUGGAAUUUUCACGUAUUAAAAAUAUGGAUCCUUUACACCUGUAUGCCUUUACUCUCCAAAUUGAUUCAUUCUCUAGUUCCUCUAUCUCAUUACUAAGUUCAAAUAAUCAUCUUCCUACAAAUCACUCAGUUUAGAUGCCUUGAAGGCCUCUUUGAAUGCUUGCUCCUGUUCACACCCGACAGUCAGUAAUCAAGCCCUGUGGAACUUGUCCCUGGUCAACAUCCGUUCUUCUCCAUUCCUACUGCAGUUCACCACACGCAGGCCCUCAUUGUCCCCUCCUGGGAUCUAUAUCCUCUCCUCAGCACCUUUUCCUUCUCUAUUGAUACCAUAGACAACUUCUCAUCUCAUAUUCUCUAAACUCAACUUUCAGGAUAUCAUACUCUUAUUCCAUAGAUCAGAACUUUCAAUGACUUUCUCCUUCUUUACAGCUCUUCAUAACAACUCUGAAGAUAGAUUCACUCCUUCUUUUUGGAAUUGCCUCUUAUUUCUUUUUCUUUCUAUGCCCAUCAUAAACCUCCCAUUGGCAAAAUUACCAUGAACAUUUUCUUGUGAAUUCAUUGCCUUGGUUCAUUGGUUCAUGGAUGGGCACCACCAUGAGCCAAUUAGAAUCUUUCCCUGAGAAUCUAGAAUCAUGGUUAAGAAGGUAUAGAUGUGCCUAAUGCUUUGUUGAAUGAAGAAAAUAUAAUCUCCCAAGGGUGGCAGCCAUUUUUCUGCCCUAUGAACUUCAAAAUGCAGAAAAUCUAUCUGGAAUGUGAAAGAAGAAGGAUAUCAAUGUAAAAACACGAACAAUAUAGAUAAGUAGAGAGAGAAGAGAGAGUGACUCCCCAUUCUGCUUUUUUCUGAGGCCUUAAUUUUUUUUUUAUUUGUCAUUGGUCU